Molecule: non-coding RNA, 21 nt
Filed under: Caenorhabditis elegans
Lineage: Eukaryota; Metazoa; Nematoda; Chromadorea; Rhabditida; Rhabditidae
Source: RNAcentral
UCAUUCAUAGACAAUCGUGAA